This 400-nucleotide unclassified non-coding RNA is filed under the name uncultured fungus. Its description in RNAcentral is "sequence contains ITS1". The stretch from base 1 to 106 matches the Rfam family "5.8S ribosomal RNA", at positions 50 to 154 of the family's 154-position model. Lineage: Eukaryota; Fungi. The record is from RNAcentral.
AAACUGCGAAACGUAAUGUGAUCUGCAGUCCUCGUGAAUCAUCAAAUCUUUGAACGCAUACUGCACCCUGUGGCAUUUGUCACUGGGUAUACUUGUUUGAGUAUCAUAUCAACUUCUCUCACCUUCUGUCUGGGGACAGGCCAAUGGGUGGAUUUGACUUUCUGAGGGCCAUGGGCACGGCCUCAGUUCGUUUAAAAGCAAGCCAGGCAAGUCUUGGCAUCAUGGUCUAGUGGGAUAACAUCCUAACAUUAGACCGUCAAGACUUGGAGCCAGGCAAAGCGUCGAGGGUGGUCAGCCUAACCAGCAGCCUUUGACAUAGAGGGACGCGGGGAGGGACGGGGAGGGCGACCUCUCUACACCCCCCACCCCCACCCCCUCUGCACUCAAGUUGAUCUCAAAU